RNAcentral lists this ribosomal RNA (1679 nucleotides) under Aulichthys japonicus (tubenose). Its description in RNAcentral is "16S ribosomal RNA". It matches the Rfam family "Bacterial large subunit ribosomal RNA". Lineage: Eukaryota; Metazoa; Chordata; Actinopteri; Perciformes; Aulorhynchidae. The record is from RNAcentral.
UGCCUUGUAGCUAACCCGAUCAAAUAAUUACAAUAUGUUCAGUUUUAAUAACCCCAAAGCACACUAAAGUGUAAAUAACAAAACAUUCCCCCUCCUAAGUAUAGGCGAUAGAAAAGGAAAUAGGCGCAAUAGAGGAAGUACCGCAAGGGAACACUGAAAGAGAAAUGAAACAACCCAGACAAGCAUAGAGAAGCAGAGAUUAGAUCUUGUACCUUUUGCAUCAUGAUUUAGCAAGUGUAAAUUAAGCAAAGAGAACUAUAGUUUAUUAGCCCGAAACUAUGUGAGCUACUCCAAGACAGCCUAUUAUAGGGCACACCCGUCUCUGUUGCAAAAGAGUGGGAGGAGCUUUGAGUAGAGGUGACAGACCUACCGAACAUAGUUAUAGCUGGUUGUCCGGAAAAUGAAUAGAAGUUCAGCCUCUGGGCUUCUCCUUUCUAUUAAGUAUUUCACCUACUGAUAAGAUAAGAAACCCAGAGAGUUAGUCAAAGGGGGUACAGCCCCUUUGAAAAAGACACAACUUUUUAAGGAGGGUAAAGAUCAUAAUUAUAAAGGACAGUACUCUGGUGGGCUUGAAAGCAGCCACCCCUUAAGAAAGCGUCAAAGCUUAAGUACCAUAAAACCCUCUUAUCCUGAUCACCCAAUCUUAUCCCCCUUCUACUACCGUACUAUCCCAUGCUUCCAUGGGAGAAAUUAUGCUAAUAUGAGUAAUAAGGGGGCCUAGGCCCCCUCCCUGCACAAGUGUACAUCGGAACGGACAAACCACCGACCAUUAACGGCCCCAAAUUAAGAGGGUAAAGGAUGAGAAACCAAAAGACAAGAAAAUCAUCCAUCAACAAACCGUUAACCCUACACAGGUGUGCCCCGGGAAAGACUAAAAGGAAAAGAAGGAACUCGGCAAACACAUAAAGCCUCGCCUGUUUACCAAAAACAUCGCCUCUUGUAAUUGAUAAAUAAGAGGUCCCGCCUGCCCUGUGACUGUAAGUUUAACGGCCGCGGUAUUUUGACCGUGCGAAGGUAGCGCAAUCACUUGUCUUUUAAAUGAAGACCUGUAUGAAUGGCAUAACGAGGGCUUAGCUGUCUCCUUUCCCCAGUCAGUGAAAUUGAUCUCCCCGUGCAGAAGCGGGGAUAAACACAUAAGACGAGAAGACCCUAUGGAGCUUUAGACACUACGGUCGAUCAUGUCAAUAAACCCUUAUAAAGGACAAAACAGAAUGAAUCCCGCCGAAUUGUCUUUGGUUGGGGCGACCGCGGGGAACGACAAAACCCCCAUGUGGAAUGGGAGCACCCCUCCUACAGAUUAGAGUGACAACUCCAAUAAACAGAAUUUCUGACCAAAAAGAUCCGGCAAAGCCGAUCAACGGACCGAGUUACCCUAGGGAUAACAGCGCAAUCCUCUUUUAGAGCCCAUAUCGACAAGAGGGUUUACGACCUCGAUGUUGGAUCAGGACAUCCUAAUGGUGCAGCCGCUAUUAAGGGUUCGUUUGUUCAACGAUUAAAGUCCUACGUGAUCUGAGUUCAGACCGGAGUAAUCCAGGUCAGUUUCUAUCUAUGAUGUGCUUUUCUCUAGUACGAAAGGACCGAGAAAAGGAGGCCUAUACCCUAGGUACGCCUCCCCCUUACCUAAUGAAACUAAAUAAAGCAGGCAAAAGGACAUAUCCUUAUGCCGAAGAUUACGGCAU